This is a microRNA precursor of Nicotiana attenuata, 85 nucleotides long. It matches the Rfam family "mir-160 microRNA precursor family". From Rfam's summary of the family: The hairpin precursors (represented here) are predicted based on base pairing and cross-species conservation -- their extents are not known. In this case the mature sequence is excised from the 5' arm of the hairpin. Lineage: Eukaryota; Viridiplantae; Streptophyta; Magnoliopsida; Solanales; Solanaceae. The record is from Rfam.
ACAUGCCUGGCUCCUUGUAUGCCACUUGCAUUGUUCCACCUUAAUUGAUGGCCUUUUCAUAUGGCAUGCUAGGAGCCAUGCAUGC